UUUAACAAUGAACAUAAAUAAGGUGAUGAAUUCAUUUUUACUAAUGUUAAGCUAGCCAAGAGGACUGUGUUAUGCAAGUCCCAGAGCAUCCCCAGCAGCGAUCUUGUAAAUUAACUGCUGGUUUAAUUGCGGUAGCUGAUUCUCAGGCAUCAGGCAGACAUGUGUCGUGGGCGGGGUCUUUGGAGGACCCCGUGUCGACGAAACCGGAAAUAAACAUUACGACUGCAUCGCUGCUGCAAGCUGAAGUAUACCAAAAGAUGCAUUUGGGUGUCGGCAAAAUAGACGUCAGUAUUAGAUAUCUUCAAAGCAAAACUACAAUUCGCUGUCUGCUCGCAUAAAGACAACAAAACAACACAAGAUGGAGUUGAAGCAGUAUCUGCCGAUGCCUGCACAAUUAUUUGACUGAGACAUCGCUAAAAGAUUAUAUUUUCUACCUGGCAUCAUUUACUUAAAGUUGCCAACACACCAGCUUUGUUGUUAAAAUAUAAACGUUAUUAACUAGACUAGAAUUUAAAUUAUAAUUCCUCUGUGGUUGUGUGGCAAGUACUCAAGGAAAGUAGGUGACCGCGUCGAUGCCUGUUGAAAAUACUGCAAACGUCAGUAAGUCGUUUACGAAAUGUUUUCUUUUUCAGUCUUACAUAUGUAUAAAAUACAGUUUUUAAAUCUGAUUCAUGGGGGAAUUUAUUUAAUUUACACAACCUGUACGGACCGAGAUCUACUUCACCUCUGUGUCACCUAAAGAUGACUGGUUAGGGCAGCUGUCCUGAUGACCCUGGCCUUUGCCUCUGGGGCAACCAAGGCCCAAGAUAUUAAGUUCUUGGCCUCAGUCCUUUUACAGACAGAUAGUUAGUCUCCAGUUAGAUUGUUUUACAUGUUGUCUAAGAGUAGUUAAUACAAAAACAAAUACAAAAACAACAUCUGAAUCACAGUGUAAAAUUCCUUUUCAGGCCUUCAUAAAUACACAUGCGCAAACCUCAGUUACUCAUCUACUAUCACUCUCAGGACAAUCAAAAUUCAUGAGACCAUCCUCUACUAUCACUGUCCAUCAACUGUUCCAUGCCCUAAGCAUUUUACUUCUAUACCUGUGUGCAUCCUAUUUCUGUCACUAAUUGCAGAAUGAAUGUGAACAGUUAUAUCUAAUCUGGAUGAAUGAGUGCAUUGAAUAUUGUAGGUUAAUAUGGGUGUAACACUGUCACUUUUUCACAGCUAACUGUCUCAUGUUACCUCGGACUGACUGUAUGUAAGAAUAACCAAAUUAUCAAAUCAAUAAAAUUGAAUAUACAUCUCA
This is a long non-coding RNA of Acanthopagrus latus (yellowfin seabream), 1288 nucleotides long. RefSeq lists it as uncharacterized. NCBI's taxonomy places the organism in Eukaryota, Metazoa, Chordata, Actinopteri, Spariformes, Sparidae. The record is from RefSeq and is a predicted model, not a curated record. The transcript is spliced from 2 exons.